Molecule: ribosomal RNA, 411 nt
Filed under: Plakobranchus ocellatus
Lineage: Eukaryota; Metazoa; Mollusca; Gastropoda; Plakobranchidae
Description: partial 16S ribosomal RNA
Rfam family: Archaeal large subunit ribosomal RNA
Source: RNAcentral
AGCUUUAAGUUUUAUUUAAAGUGAGACCUGCCCAGUGCUAAUUAGUAAACGGCCGCAGUACCUUGACUGUGCUAAGGUAGCAUAAUCAGUUGGCUUUUAAAUGGAGUCGGGAAUGAAUGGAUUAAUAGGGUUAAGCUGUCUCUACUAUAUUAAAUUGAACUUACUUAUUAGGUGAAAAUGCCUAAAUUGUAAAAGAAAAAAGACGAGAAGACCCUAGGAGUUUUAACUAGAUGCUAUUUAUUAUAGUUAAUGUUUUUGUUGGGGCGACAUUGGAACAAUUGUAUUUAACUUCCUUUAUGUUUAUAGGCCGACUUUGUAUGUAAAUUUAAACUACCCUAGGGAUAACAGCGUAAUUCUUUUUGAGCUUGCGACCUCGAUGUUGGACUAGGAAUUUGGUGGGCUAGCCGCCUA